RNAcentral lists this ribosomal RNA (274 nucleotides) under Bacillaceae bacterium CL3.24. RNAcentral describes it as "partial 16S ribosomal RNA". It matches the Rfam family "Bacterial small subunit ribosomal RNA", at positions 200 to 467 of the family's 1533-position model. Lineage: Bacteria; Bacillati; Bacillota; Bacilli; Caryophanales; Bacillaceae. The record is from RNAcentral.
CUGAAAGUCGGUUUCGGCUGACACUUACAGAUGGGCCCGCGGCGCAUUAGCUAGUUGGUGAGGUAACGGCUCACCAAGGCGACGAUGCGUAGCCGACCUGAGAGGGUGAUCGGCCACACUGGGACUGAGACACGGCCCAGACUCCUACGGGAGGCAGCAGUAGGGAAUCUUCCACAAUGGACGAAAGUCUGAUGGAGCAACGCCGCGUGAGCGAUGAAGGCCUUCGGGUCGUAAAGCUCUGUUGUUAGGGAAGAACAAGUACCGGAGUAACUGC